GCUUAGCUAACAGGCAGGAGUGGACAAAGUCUGUGCAACCAGAGCCCCGACAAAGCCUUCGCACAGAGCCAGUGAGCCAGGACUCCUCUGGCGUCACCACUGAGGCUGUAGGGAGCCUACACUGGCUUUGCCGCCUCUGCUGGCACCGGGCCAGGACACAGGACGCUGGACAUCAGACGCCACGCUGGCACCUCUGCCCCAGCAGCUCCUGGAAACUGAACGUUGCUGCUGCAGCCAGAAGGAGUUCUGUUCUCACCCAGCUUCUCAGCAUCACGAGCAAGUGACACACAAUCUUGGGUCAUCACAUCCGAGUGCCCCAGCCUAGGGGCUGGGGAUGAGAGUAUCUGGUGUUUGCACCUUUCAUAGAGAGAUGAGCCUUGUCUGCCACCAGGAUUUGCAAGAGGUUCAGUGAAUAUGUCUUGGAGGCUCCACAGCCAUUAAGGAUGCCUACACCACAUUAUUCAUCAGUUCCAGAGAAGGUUCUGUUGUCAUCAGGAGACACCGCUGAGGCCUACCUGCUGAGUCGGAGUACUGGUUGAUGAUAGAAACUCUGCUGUCAUCUCCAUCAGAAACCUAAAGGAACGUGUCGUGUUGCUCGCUGAAAUCUUCUGGCUGGCCCGGCAAGUGGCGCCCAGCGUGGGGCUCGACGAAAGUUCCUUGCGGCCGCUGCCUGUUGAAACUACUAAGGUAAGUAAGAGUGUAUAUACUUGUAUAUUGAGGGGCAGGAAGGAAUAUUGUCGAGAGUAUAAACCAUGGGACAAGAUCAUAGCCGUCAGUUGUGCAUAUGUUACAGAUAAUGUUAAAGGAUCAGGGAAUA
This 817-nucleotide long non-coding RNA is filed under the name Cervus hanglu yarkandensis (Yarkand deer). RNAcentral's name for it is "lncRNA (ENSCHYG00000009066.1)". Lineage: Eukaryota; Metazoa; Chordata; Mammalia; Artiodactyla; Cervidae. The record is from RNAcentral.